This 497-nucleotide ribosomal RNA is filed under the name uncultured bacterium. RNAcentral describes it as "partial 16S ribosomal RNA". It matches the Rfam family "Bacterial small subunit ribosomal RNA", at positions 28 to 507 of the family's 1533-position model. The record is from RNAcentral.
GACGAACGCUGGCGGCGUGCCUAAUACAUGCAAGUUGAGCGCUGAAGGUUGGUACUUGUACCAACUGGAUGAGCAGCGAACGGGUGAGUAACGCGUGGGGAAUCUGCCUUUGAGCGGGGGACAACACUUGGAAACGAAUGCUAAUACCGCAUAAAAACUUUAAACACAAGUUUUAAGUUUGAAAGAUGCAAUUGCAUCACUCAAAGAUGAUCCCGCGUUGUAUUAGCUAGUUGGUGAGGUAAAGGCUCACCAAGGCGAUGAUACAUAGCCGACCUGAGAGGGUGAUCGGCCACAUUGGGACUGAGACACGGCCCAAACUCCUACGGGAGGCAGCAGUAGGGAAUCUUCGGCAAUGGACGAAAGUCUGACCGAGCAACGCCGCGUGAGUGAAGAAGGUUUUCGGAUCGUAAAACUCUGUUGGUAGAGAAGAACGUUGGUGAGAGUGGAAAGCUCAUCAAGUGACGGUAACUACCCAGAAAGGGACGGCUAACUACGUG